Molecule: ribosomal RNA, 585 nt
Filed under: Triticum aestivum (bread wheat)
Lineage: Eukaryota; Viridiplantae; Streptophyta; Magnoliopsida; Poales; Poaceae
Description: partial small subunit ribosomal RNA
Source: RNAcentral
AUGCCCAGAUUUCUUGUUUCCUUGGCUUAUACUUUGGGUCUUGCACCUUUUCUUUAUAGGUUCUGCGAAUUCUUGUUUAGGGAUCCGAUGGAGAGCUCGGAUAUGGCAUCGCAGCCGUUGAGCGACAGGGUCACGCCGAAGCUCCUCCUUGGCUGCACGGAUUGCGUCACUGUCAUGCCGGGCGAGCCGCAGACUGGAUCCGGAAAGACAUAUACGACGGGUACCAAUUAUACUGGCGAAGCUGAUCGUGGAGGAAUAUUUGCACCUCUCAUGGAGACGAUAUUCAGGAAAUCUGAUGCGAUGAACCGUCAUACAGAGUUCUUAAUUAGGGUAUCCUUCAUCGAGAAGUGGCAGAGCCUGCUAGAGUGCCUAUUCAGAUUCGACAAAACUUCAAAUGGAAGCAUUACACUUGCUGGCGUGAUGGAGGCUGAGGUCAAGUCAAAAGAAGAUAUGGGCCAUAUGGCCGUGCACUUGGCACGAGGAUCUUUGUCACGCGCAACUGAAAGUACAAACAUACAUAGCCAGGCAAGAGCUGCAAGAGUGGUGGACAUGCAAGGGAGGAUCAGGAAGGAUGGAGGGAGGUGA